GAUGAACGCUGGCGGCGUGCCUAAUACAUGCAAGUCGAGCGGUAAGGCCCUUCGGGGUACACGAGCGGCGGACGGCUGAGUAACACGUAGGAACGUACCCCAAACUGAGGGAUAAGCACCAGAAAUGGUGUCUAAUACCGCAUGUGGCCCACGGGCUAAAGCUCCGGCGGUUUGGGAACGGCCUGCGUCCGAUUAGCUAGUUGGUAGUGUAAUAGACUACCAAGGCGACGAUCGGUAGCUGGUCUGAGAGGAUAAUCAGCCAGACUGGGACUGAGACACGGCCCAGACUCCUACGGGAGGCAGCAGUAGGGAAUCUUCCACAAUGGGGGCAACCCUGAUGGAGCAACGCCGCGUGCAGGAUGAAGGCCUUCGGGUUGUAAACUGCUUUUAUCUGUGACGAUUAUGACGGUAGCAGAUGAAUAAGGGCCUGCUAACUACGUGCCAGCCGCCGCGGUAA
RNAcentral lists this ribosomal RNA (457 nucleotides) under uncultured bacterium. RNAcentral describes it as "partial 16S ribosomal RNA". It matches the Rfam family "Bacterial small subunit ribosomal RNA", at positions 28 to 523 of the family's 1533-position model. The record is from RNAcentral.